UUAUCAACGAUGCACCGUCUACCAAUAAAAGCACAAUAUACGCGUGUAUUUUGUGAAAACAUUGCUAUAAAAACACCCAAGAGCGAAGAUAACGGAGAAUAGAGAAAUAAACUAUUUUUUUGGUGCACCCUCAGUGCUUACCUAACAAAUUCUCUUUGUUCUCUUAUUUUUUGGUUAGAGCGCCUUAGUUUCUAACAACAGCAUUGGAAACAAUGCCCGAGGAGAGUCUGUCCGUCGAAUUCGUUAAAUGUAGGUUGCUUGACGAAGAAACAAAAAGAAAGAGUGUAGAUCUUCGCGCACCGGAAAAUGAAGCUGCAUUCUCUGGCACGAGGCCAAAUUGGCAGCAGAAAAGUAAGGUUAGGUGUUUUGGCUGCAAGGUUAUCGGACAUAAGUUAUCUGAGUGUCCGAACAAAAGGCAAAGUGACACCAAUACAUCGAAGGCACACGUCGGUGAAGCAAGUGUAAGUUUUGUUGGUGUAAAUGCGGGAUGUUUUAACAAAAUGGAGUGGUAUAUAGAUUCGGGCUGUUCCGAUCAUCUGGUGAAUAACAAAGAGUUUUUCGAUGAAAUGUGGCUAUUGGAAAAUCUGAAUGAAAUUGCGAUUGCUAAGGAUGAUGUGACGAUUCGUGCGGAAUAUUCUGGAAACGUGAAGAUCAUCAGCAAUGUGUUCGGAAAGCAAAUUGAGUGCGUGGUGCGAAAUGUUUUAUAUGUGCCUGAUUUGCGUUGUAAUCUUUUCUCAGUAAUGCGUGUUGAUGCUGCUGGUAUGAAAGUGGUAUAUGCAAACGGAGCGGUACAGAUUUAUCGUGGUUCGGAAAUUGUCGCGUGUGGUUCACGGGUUGGAAAAUUAUAUCAACUAGAUUUUAGUUAUGUGAAGCGUGGUGAAUAUUCGAUGAUGACGACAGGUCGAGUGUCUAAAGAGCUGGAAUUAUGGCAUAAGCGUCUUGGUCACUUAAACGUGCGCAGUAUUGAGCAAUUGAUUCGGAAUGAAAUGGUUUCUGGGCUGAAAGUGAAAUGUACCGACAAAAAUGUUGUGGUGUGCGAGUCUUCCCCCAGGACAAUCGCAUGGCAAUCGGAUUGAACGCGCAACAUUUUCCAUACAAUCCGCAGUGUUGCGUUUUCUUCGCGCCAACUUUGCCUGUAUUUUUAAUGAGCCAAGCGAUUUUACCCCCUCCUACACGCAUUGUAUCCUACAGCACGCUUGACGCGGCAACGUUCACCACAUACACACACACAUCUCCACACUCAGGGUACGACAUCUUCCCUGUUGCUGUUCUGGACUCAGACAAAAUUUGUGUUUCUACACUUAUUGUUCAAAAAAGUAGUAGUUCUUAGGAUCUGAAUUUACAAACAAAUAUCAAAAUGUUAUGUUCUGCUAAUGAUAUUGCACUAAAUUUAAUUGCACUACAUUAAGUUUUUACAUAUCUUUCGUAAAAGUUCGUCAGAGUAUGAAAAUGUCGAUUCAAUUUGUCAUGAAUAACUUGAAUUUUAAGAUUUUCGCUCAUAAAAUUAUGACGCGCGCUGUCUGUGCGGCGGCGUAAGUCGCUACUCGUAUAGUCGUCUCGCUUCUUCUUGUGUGUGCUUUACCGUUGCUCACCGCUUCAAGAACAUUGCUGCUCACACACACGUCAGUCUGUGGCAAACAAUUGGAGGGGGAGGAUGUGUCGGUUUGCUCCAGAAAUCGUGUGUGAUUUUGGUGUUCUGGAUUUGGUUCCAUCGCUGUUUGUUUUGGUGGAAUUGAAAAGGUAAGAAUCAUCAACCGAUGUAAAACUGGGAGAGUAAGAUGAUGCUGAUGGUGACGGAUUAUUUUCUUUGUUUCUUUUCCUGCUUUCAUCCACUGAUGGCGUCGAGCAUCGCCGAGGAUGUGAUCGAAUGCGGAAUAUCCUAAACGAGGAGCUUCAUUCCGGAUUUUGUUUGCAAUAAGCGCUGAACUCAUCCUCCAGCUUACAACGAACGGUCAACGGAUGAGGAAGGAGAGGAGGGACGGCAAAGGUACACGCACAAACGUGCACACCUCAGCCUUGUCGGAGAACGAGAACACGGGAGGGGGAGACCGGCAACCGAUUCUGUCGUGCUGAGCUUUCACGUCCCUCACCACCGAUCUCCUUCCUACCCCUCGCCUAAGAUCGUCUGACGUCUCGCCUGACACCUUUAGUUGUGUUGGUGCUCUGCGGCUGCUGUCACUGUAGAAGUUAGGUUGUGUGUGUGUAAAAAAACGUAAACAGUGUUGUUGGCUGAUCAAGUGCGGUAAGUUUUUUUUAAUAAUUAAGUUCUUAAUUUUACGUAAGUAAGUGCCAUUUUAGCAAAAGUAAGUAGUUGAAGUCCUCCCCAAUGCGUGCUGGCUCCGUCGGAAGCGGCACGUAGCGGUACGUGCAUGUACCGGCAUAGAAAAGUGGUGUGGUGGACAACACAGCACAGGACAGCGGAUAAAAUGCAGAAACGAUAUGGGCCUGCCGCGGGUGUUUGCCACUGUACGUUGCAUUGUAUAUGUGAUGCGGUAUGUUCGGUAUCCAAUUUUCCUCUAUCCUGGAACGUGGGCUUACGAGGAACAAUUUAAGAACAUCCUCCGGAAGCUGUACGGCGACGAGUCGGGCUCUACCAGCACAACACGCUAGAGGCCCAGCCGGCACCGGGUGCCCCGAUUGCGCCGUGAGACGGUGUCGAGCGCGCUCGUUAACAACGUUCGGGGCAGGAAUUCAACCCUUCGGAUCAUUAUCCUCUGCCUCACAAUAGCUGCAGCAGCAACAGGACCGAACCGACCGCACUACUGAUUGCGGUCAAAUUUCCUGGCAGGAGAAAAAACCCCACAAGUGUAUCGAUUUCAUCGACGGCCGCUCGCUGACGGCACCAACAUGCCACUGAAUAACCCCGGAAAGGCGACAAGCACUCAUCUCCAGCGGCAAAUUGUUAACAUCAAUCCGCACAUCUACACGACAUCAUGAUAAUAGUGUUAUUGUGUAAAUUGUAAAUAAAUUACGUUAAUGAGUUAAGAUUA
This is a long non-coding RNA of Anopheles arabiensis, 2990 nucleotides long. RefSeq lists it as uncharacterized. The transcript is spliced from 6 exons. The record is from RefSeq and is a predicted model, not a curated record. Lineage: Eukaryota; Metazoa; Arthropoda; Insecta; Diptera; Culicidae.